CGAAUCUUCCGCAAUGCGCGAAAGCGUGACGGAGCAAUGCCGCGUGCGGGAUGAAGCCCUUCGGGGUGUAAACCGCUGUCAGGGGUCAGCAACACAAUGAGCAACCCCAAAGGAAGAGGCGACUAACUCUGUGCCAGCAGUCGCGGUAAUACAGAGGCCUCGAGCGUUAAUCGGAAUCACUGGGCUUAAAGCGUACGUAGGCGGACAUGCAGGCGUCGUGUGAAAGCCCCCGGCUCAACCGGGGAACUGCACGGCGAACCGCAUGUCUCGAGUCAAGUAGGGGCUGUCGGAACGCUAGGUGGAGUGGUGAAAUGCGUUGAUAUCUAGCGGAACACCGAAGGUGAAGACAGGCAGCUGGGCUUGCACUGACGCUGAGGUACGAAAGCGUGGGUAGCGAAC
RNAcentral lists this ribosomal RNA (399 nucleotides) under uncultured bacterium. RNAcentral's name for it is "bacterial SSU rRNA". It matches the Rfam family "Bacterial small subunit ribosomal RNA", at positions 358 to 773 of the family's 1533-position model. The record is from RNAcentral.